GGCUGAUUAACUCAGUGAGUUAUAGCAUGGUGCUGAUAACACCAAGGUCACGGGUUCAAUCCCCAUUCAGUCC
This 73-nucleotide transfer RNA is filed under the name Apaloderma vittatum (bar-tailed trogon). It matches the Rfam family "tRNA". Rfam says of the family: Transfer RNA (tRNA) molecules are approximately 80 nucleotides in length. The record is from Rfam by way of RNAcentral. Lineage: Eukaryota; Metazoa; Chordata; Aves; Trogoniformes; Trogonidae.